UCGAGAAUCUUUCGCAAUGGGCGAAAGCCUGACGAAGCGACGCUGUGUGAAUGAUGAAGGCCUUCGGGUUGUAAAGUUCUUUCGCAUAGGAACAAGGGAAGCGUGUGAAUAACAUGCUGACUUGAGGGUAUUAUGUAAAGAAGCACCGGCUAACUCCGUGCCAGCAGCUGCGGUAAUACGGAGGGUGCAAGCAUUAAUCGGAUUUAUUGGGCGUAAAGGGCGCGUAGGCGGGUUUUUAAGUCAGAUGUGAAAUUCCGAAGCUCAACUUCGGAGCUGCAUUUGAAACUGGAGAUCUUGAGGAUGGGCGGAGAAAAUGGAAUUCCACGUGUAGCGGUGAAAUGCGUAGAUAUGUGGAAGAACACCGGUGGCGAAAGCGAUUUUCUAGCUUAUAACUGACGCUGAGGCGCGAGAGCAAGGGGAGCAAACA
This 427-nucleotide ribosomal RNA is filed under the name uncultured Chlamydiales bacterium. Its description in RNAcentral is "partial 16S ribosomal RNA". It matches the Rfam family "Bacterial small subunit ribosomal RNA", at positions 355 to 774 of the family's 1533-position model. The record is from RNAcentral. Lineage: Bacteria; Pseudomonadati; Chlamydiota; Chlamydiia; Chlamydiales.